UGAAAUUAACAUGGAGGAUAUUUGUACAGCCAUUUCCAUAGCAGCGUCAUUCACAAUAGCCAAAAGGUGGACGCAACCCAUGUGUUCAUCAGCAGAUAGAUGAAUAAACAAAGCAUAUCGCAUAUAUUCAUAAGUGAAAUAUUAUUCAGUUUUAAAAAGGAAGGAAAUUCUGACACAUGCUAAGCAUGAAUGAACCUUGCAAGCAUGAUGCUAAGUGAAACAAGCCAGUCACAAAUGGGCAAAUACUGUAUGAUUC
Molecule: long non-coding RNA, 256 nt
Organism: Sapajus apella (tufted capuchin)
Lineage: Eukaryota; Metazoa; Chordata; Mammalia; Primates; Cebidae
Exons: 3
Source: RefSeq, a predicted model, not a curated record